GAACAUAUGUUUGUCAUAUGAACUUUUAAUCCAUUUUUUUUGUACAUCUCAGGAUGUCGUCUUUGACGACAAUUUCUCUUCAGUUCACAGCAGUGGGCAGCAAGAGCGGUAACGAUGGGACCCGAAAGAUGGUGAACUAUGCCUGGCCAGGUUGAAGUCAGGGGAAACCCUGAUGGAGGACCGUAGCGAUUCUGACGUGCAAAUCGAUCGUCGGAGCUGGGUAUAGGGGCGAAAGACUAAUCGAACCAUCUAGUAGCUGGUUCCUGUCGAAGUUUCCCUCAGGAUAGCUGGUGCUCAUUAACGAGUUUCAUCCGGUAAAGCGAAUGAUUAGAAGCAUUGGGGGCGAAACGCCCUCAACUUAUUCUCAAACUUUAAAUGGGUGAGAAGUCCGUCUUGCUUGAGUGAAGUCGGACACUGAAUCGGAGUACCUAGUGGGCCAUUUUUGGUAAGCAGAACUGGCGCUGCGGGAUGAACCGAACGCAAGGUUAAAGUGCCCAAAUGGAAGUUCAUCAGAUCCCACGAAAGGUGUUGGUUGCUUAAGACAGCAGGACGGUGGCCAUGGAAGUCGGAAUCCGCUAAGGAGUGUGUAACAACUCACCUGCCGAAGCAACUAGCCCUGAAAAUGGAUGGCGCUAAAGCUUCUUUCUUAUACCUUGCCGUUGACGUCAGAGCAGGCCUUCCAGGCCCUGAAGACUCAACGAGUAGGCAGGUCGAGCGGGUGGCGCUGAAGGCUCUGGGAGUGAUCCUGGCUGGAGCCGCCCGUUGUGCAGAUCUUGGUGGUAGUAGCAAAUACUCCAGAGAGGCCCUGGAGGACCGAUGUGGAGAAGGGUUUCGUGUGAACAGCCGUUGAACACGAGUCAGUCGAUCCUAAGGCUUAGUGGAAGCAUUGUUCAAUGGAGCGGUGAUCUAAAGUAAAAUUAGAGCCGCAUCUACAGCCGAAAGGGAAUCAGGUUCUUAUUCCUGAACCUGGUAGCGUAACCGUUUGGGAGCCUCGUAUCUCACGUGGUAACACGAACAGAGCUUGAGACGCCCGUCCGAACCCUGGGAAGAGUUGUCUUUUCUGCAUAAGCAACCGAGGCCCUGGAAUUUCUUUGAGAAGAGAAUGGGUUUUGGUAUUGCCAAGAGCAUAGCAGUUCUCGCUGUGUCCAUGGGCGUCGGACGGGACCUUGAAAAUCAAGCUGAGGGCUUCGGCGAGUCGCACCAGCUCGUACCCAUAUCCGCAGCAGGUCUCCUAGGUAAACAGCCUCUGGUCGAUAGAAUAAUGUAGGUAAGGGAAGUCGGCAAAUUGGUUCCGUAACUUCGGGAAAAGGAAUGGCUCUAAAGGCCGGGGUGUUUGGGCUUAGUGCAGGAAGCAGUCGGUUUAUCGGUGGGCCUGGCGAAACCUUCGCGGUGAAGUCGGUCCCAUUCUCAAGCUACUGUGGAGUGCCUUUGCUUCGCAGUCCCGGGCAACCGGGUAACUGUUCAAGCAUCAAUUAACGGCUAAUUUAGAACUGGCACGGACAAGGGGAAUCCGACUGUUUAAUUAAAACAAAGCAUUGCGAUGGUCAGAGAGUGAUGUUGACGCAAUGUGAUUUCUGCCCAGUGCUCUGAAUGUCAAAGUGAAGAGGUUCGUCCAAGCGCGGGUAAACGGCGGGAGUAACUAUGACUCUCUUAAGGUAGCCAAAUGCCUCGUCAGAUAACUACUGACGCGCAUGAAUGGAUUAACGAGAUUCCCACUGUCCCUAUCUACUAUCUAGCGAAACCGCAGCCAAGGGAACGGACUUGGGAGAAUCAGCGGGGAAAGAAGACCCUGUUGAGCUUGACUCUAGUCUCCUAUUGUGGCGAAGCAUUUUUGGCGUAGAAUAGGGAGGAGCGCAAGCAUCAGUGAAAUACUCCUACAAAAAUCGCUUCUCUGCUUACUCGGUUAAGCGAAGUUAGAGCUUUCGGGCUCUAUUUCUCGAAUCAAAUGGUAAAUCUCCGAUUUGUCAUGAUUCGCUCCGAGGACAUUGCGAGGCGGGGAGUUUGACUGGGGCGGUACAUCUGUCAAAUGAUAACGCAGGUGUCCUAAGGCCAGCUCAGUGAGGACGGAAACCUCGCGUAGAGCAAAAGGGCAAAUGCUGGCUUGACCUCUCCCUUCAGUACGGGGCGAGGAGCAGAAAUGUCGGCCUAUCGAUCCUCUUUAUUUCGGAGUUUGAAGAAAGAGGUGCCAGAAAAGUUACCACAGGGAUAACUGGCUUGUGGC
RNAcentral lists this ribosomal RNA (2221 nucleotides) under marine metagenome. RNAcentral's name for it is "eukaryotic LSU rRNA". It matches the Rfam family "Eukaryotic large subunit ribosomal RNA", at positions 692 to 2841 of the family's 3401-position model. The record is from RNAcentral.